CUUCAACGAGCCCAGCCACAGCGGGCGUUCGCGGUCCUGGCCGUAGGUGGACAGCAGGGCCUCGGCCUC
This 69-nucleotide antisense RNA is filed under the name Streptomyces sp. NRRL B-1568. RNAcentral's name for it is "ASpks sRNA". It matches the Rfam family "ASpks TB sRNA". Lineage: Bacteria; Bacillati; Actinomycetota; Actinomycetes; Kitasatosporales; Streptomycetaceae. The record is from RNAcentral.